CGGCACCCAGGACGACACACAGGCUUCCCAUUGUCUGCCACACAGCAGGUCUCGGCCACGGCCCAGGUUGCACCCGUGUGAGGUUGAUGUUGGACCGUAUUUACAUUCAGUGUUUGGGGCUGACCGGGAAGAAAUCUGAAAGUGGAAGAGAAGGGAAGGCACCGGUAACCUCGUCUUCCCAAGAGGAGGUCAGAGGGACUGAUCUCUGCUUACUGCAGCCUCC
This 223-nucleotide long non-coding RNA is filed under the name Homo sapiens (human). RNAcentral describes it as "HSALNT0379497". The record is from RNAcentral. Lineage: Eukaryota; Metazoa; Chordata; Mammalia; Primates; Hominidae.